CACGGACCGCACGAACGUUAUUCGGUAUUACUGGGCGUAAAGGGCGUGUAGGCGGCCACUGCAAGUCGGUUGUGAAAUCUCCGGGCUUAACCCGGAAAGGUCAAUCGAUACUGCAGGGCUAGAGUGCAGAAGGGGCAACUGGAAUUCUCGGUGUAGCGGUGAAAUGCGUAGAUAUCGAGAGGAACACCUGCGGCGAAGGCGGGUUGCUGGGCUGACACUGACGCUGAACUGCGAAAGCUAGGGGAGCGAACGGG
This 254-nucleotide ribosomal RNA is filed under the name uncultured bacterium. RNAcentral's name for it is "partial 16S ribosomal RNA". It matches the Rfam family "Bacterial small subunit ribosomal RNA", at positions 524 to 776 of the family's 1533-position model. The record is from RNAcentral.